Molecule: long non-coding RNA, 688 nt
Organism: Microplitis mediator
Lineage: Eukaryota; Metazoa; Arthropoda; Insecta; Hymenoptera; Braconidae
Exons: 4
Source: RefSeq, a predicted model, not a curated record
AUUGUGUGCCGCGUUCGUUGUCAUAAUUUUAUUAUACGAAUAAAUGUUUUAAAAUGUCUGAGUUCAUUUAACAUCAAUAUAUUUAAAUAAUCGUUAGAGUUUGAUGAUCAAUAAGCGAUAGUUAUUUUAUUUAUUUACUGUAUGUUUAUAGUUAAAGUUAACCAAUUUGUGAGAGUGCUCGAGUCAGGCGGGUAGCAGUAAAAUGGCGGCAAAAGUUCCAGGAAAAAAAUGCUGAAGAAAUUCAUAAAAUAUACCGAUGUCACGGAAAAAGAUUCUGAGACAUCCGACAAAUGUGGCCGCCGAGAGGGAAAUUCAAAUUUGAAAAGAUUGUCAUCAGCGCCGGAGCUCACAAAAGUUUCCGUUGGGUUCUAAAGUCUACUGAUCGAGUUCACUUUGCAGAAGAAUUUAUUCAAUUACAUAUUUAUUGAAGAUAAUAAUAAUAAUUAAGUGAGUGAGGUACUUGUGAUCGUGUGGUAAUCAAGAAGUAAUCGAGUUUGUUUGUGAAGAGAGUUGAUCUUGAAGCUGAAAAUUUAUAAUUACGUCCGCCGAGAAACAGAAAGAAUUGUCUGCUGGUCUGGAAGUUUCUCGUCGUGGUGAGUGAACUUAAUUUACUAUUUUUACAAUAAAAUAAUUUCAUUAAUCCAACGAUAUUGUUAAAUUCUCUUAUGCUAAGGUCCAAGUACUUCGU